Molecule: long non-coding RNA, 1218 nt
Filed under: Pan troglodytes (chimpanzee)
Lineage: Eukaryota; Metazoa; Chordata; Mammalia; Primates; Hominidae
Description: long non-coding RNA NONPTRT005059
Source: RNAcentral
AGGAAGCGGUUGUAGCUAAUAUCUGAUAGCUGCCUCACUGAGGUUGCAGGGGGUCAGAACCCCAAGUCAGACUAUCCAGACAAUAAAAAUAACGUUUCCUAAGGCUUACAGCAUUUGAUUCGUUCAGAGAAGAAAAAGGUCUGAAUCAUUCCACUCUAAAAUGGGACUGAGGAUAUACCAGCGUACAAAAUAUUAAAAAGAAAAAAAUUGCUGUUCCUACAGAGUUUAUAUCCUAAAGGUGAAGACAAAGAAUAAACACACGUAACUUAUUUGGUGAGAGAAUGUCGAAGGCAGCUGCACACAAGCCACAAAGCUAAGUUAAUGUAUGUAUGGACUAUCUGACAACCCAAUUCUGCCACAUGAUUACUGCCCUAAUUCUGUAAACAUUUCACCCUUAAUCAAGUCAUAAGUUGAAUGUGGCCACUGGUGAAAACACAAUAUUUAGACAUUUCUAAAACUGGAUCUACUCACAUUUAUGAUGAUGUUCAGAGAUUCAUCGUUGGGAAGGAAAAUGCACACACUGCGGCGGUCUUGCAUGACUCUGUUGUUAUGAAAAUUCAAUUUGUUCAUUGUGUUUUGGGCACUCUGGUGGUCAGGGCUGGGCUCUGGGUCCUUGGCAAUUCCUCAGGUUCCCAGCACUCCAAAGCCAAGCUCGCCUCCUCAUCACACGCCCUGCAGGAGAAGCAUCAUGGUGUUCGACUACGUGGGUUUCAUAGCUGUGAAAAAGCCAAAGGGGAGACUCCUGAAGAAAGGCGGUGAAGACUGUGAAAAGCGGGUCAAGAAGAUGAGCACAGCACCACUACUAUUGUGGGCACAGGGACAGCAUAUCUCCAGCCAGCACCACCUUAUUUAAUACAUGGGAACUCACUGAAAUUCAUUCUGUAUUUUGCCCACAAAGUUUUAAAGCUUUCAUCCACAGUCAGGAAUUAAACUUAUAACCAAUGAGAGCCUCACACAUUCAAGGAUGUACUAAGUACUACAGGCCUCACAGAAACAGAGAUCCUGUCUUGGAGGAGUUUUCAGUCCCACAUGGGAGAUAAAGGGUUUUGAACAUGAAAUGACAAAAACAACAGCAAUAAGAAAAUUCUCGUUCUUUUUCAUAACUAUCAAACUCAAAUAAAUGUCUUGGCUCUUACAUUACAUUCAUUCUUCAACCAUUGUGGUCUGGCUUACACUUCCUUCACUUCACCAACAUGGCUCUGCCAAAGGAAGCCCGUG